This 293-nucleotide unclassified non-coding RNA is filed under the name uncultured fungus. Its description in RNAcentral is "sequence contains ITS1". The record is from RNAcentral. Lineage: Eukaryota; Fungi.
GGACUACUAGGGUUUCUAAUCCUGUUCGCUCCCCACGCUUUCGCACCUGAGCGUCAGUAUAUGGCCAGUUGCCUGAUUUCUCCCUUGGUCUUCCUGCCGAUCUCUACGCAUUUCACCACUACACCGGCAAUUCGAGCAACCUCUCCAUAACUCUAGUCGUGCAGUUUGGCAUGGCGUCAAUCAGUUAAGCUGAUUGGUUUCACACACCACUUGCACAACCGCCUACGUGCGCUUUACGCCCAGUAACUCCGGACAACGCUUGCCCCCUCUGUAUUACCGCGGCGGCUGGCACC